RNAcentral lists this long non-coding RNA (616 nucleotides) under Homo sapiens (human). Its description in RNAcentral is "HSALNT0107744". The record is from RNAcentral. Lineage: Eukaryota; Metazoa; Chordata; Mammalia; Primates; Hominidae.
GUGAAGGUAGGUGCAUAGCUUGAGCCCAGGAGUUGAAGACCAGCCUAGGCAACAUGGUGAAACCCCAUCUCUACAAAAUAUACAAAACUUAGCCAGGCAUGAUAGUGUGUGCCUGUGGUCGCAGCUACUUGAGAGGCUGAAGUGAGCAGAUCUCUUGAGCCUGGGAGGCAGAAGUUGCAGUAAGCCAAGGUCUGGCCACUGCACUCAAGCCUGGGAGACAGAGCGAUGAGACUCUCAUCUCAAAUGCUUGUGACAGAACAUCUUUGUAAAUGGUAGUCUUUUGACUAUUUUAAUAACAGCCAGCAGCAAAGGAAUUUUGAGAAUAUCAAGAACCCUGACUGAUAGAGUUGGCUUAGCCACCUGACCUAAGGAUUCUUUCCCUAAGGAGAAGAGUGGGGAGGAAAAAUAGGGAAGAUAUUGCAUCUAUUCCAAGCAAAGUGUGGCAUGGGACCCAAAGAUCGAAAAUGUUUGGAAUUAACUUAUCCUGACAGUGGUUCCUAUUCUUUUCAAUUUCUGGAUCUACUCGUCUCUUUUAUUAUGUAGCCUAUCUCAUAUUCUUCCAUUGGAUCUAAAUUUCCAUGAGAAAUAAAAAUCAAUUUUUACGUGCUAAUUACAC